ACGAACGCUGGCAGCGUGCUUAACACAUGCACGUCGAACGGAAAGGCCCUGCUUUUGUGGGGUGCUCGAGUGGCGAACGGGUGAGUAACACGUGAGUAACCUGCCCUUGACUUUGGGAUAACUUCAGGAAACUGGGGCUAAUACCGGAUAGGAGCUCCUGCUGCAUGGUGGGGGUUGGAAAGUUUCGGCGGUUGGGGAUGGACUCGCGGCUUAUCAGCUUGUUGGUGGGGUAGUGGCUUACCAAGGCUUUGACGGGUAGCCGGCCUGAGAGGGUGACCGGCCACAUUGGGACUGAGAUACGGCCCAGACUCCUACGGGAGGCAGCAGUGGGGAAUAUUGCACAAUGGGCGGAAGCCUGAUGCAGCAACGCCGCGUGCGGGAUGACGGCCUUCGGGUUGUAAACCGCUUUCGCCUGUGACGAAGCGUGAGUGACGGUAAUGGGUAAAGAAGCACCGGCUAACUACGUG
RNAcentral lists this ribosomal RNA (467 nucleotides) under uncultured bacterium. Its description in RNAcentral is "partial 16S ribosomal RNA". It matches the Rfam family "Bacterial small subunit ribosomal RNA", at positions 29 to 507 of the family's 1533-position model. The record is from RNAcentral.